UUUGAAUGUCAAGGUUCCACUGAUGCAGUAGAGCUCGACGGUAUGACAUAAUUGCUUCUCGAGGAGCAUCUGCGAGUUUGCAUAAUUCAGGAAGCAGCUCAACAGUCUUGUUGAGAGUAUCCUGCAAUUUACAGUCAGUAGCAAAGGUUUCAGGCAAGCCUGCUGGUAAUGAAGAUUCAAGAAUGUCGAGAACUACAGUACAUGAUUGAGCAGCUUCUUUGUACCUCUGAAGAGCCUGCAAUGAUUUCGCUUUGAGAAAGACUGCUUCCAGG
RNAcentral lists this unclassified non-coding RNA (272 nucleotides) under Hevea brasiliensis (rubber tree). The record is from RNAcentral. Lineage: Eukaryota; Viridiplantae; Streptophyta; Magnoliopsida; Malpighiales; Euphorbiaceae.